AAUGGGUCAGCGACUUAUAUUCUGUAGCAAGGUUAACCGUAUAGGGGAGCCGUAGGGAAACCGAGUCUUAACCGGGCGUUAAGUUGCAGGGUAUAGACCCGAAACCCGGUGAUCUAGCCAUGGGCAGGUUGAAGGUUGGGUAACACUAACUGGAGGACCGAACCGACUAAUGUUGAAAAAUUAGCGGAUGACCUGUGGCUGGGGGUGAAAGGCCAAUCAAACCGGGAGAUAGCUGGUUCUCCCCGAAAGCUAUUUAGGUAGCGCCUCGUGAAUUCAUCUCCGGGGGUAGAGCACUGUUUCGGCUAGGGGGCCAUCCCGGCUUACCAACCCGAUGCAAACUGCGAAUACCGGAGAAUGUUAUCACGGGAGACACACGGCGGGUGCUAACGUCCGUCGUGAAGAGGGAAACAACCCAGACCGCCAGCUAAGGUCCCAAAGUCAUGGUUAAGUGGGAAACGAUGUGGGAAGGCCCAGACAGCCAGGAUGUUGGCUUAGAAGCAGCCAUCAUUUAAAGAAAGCGUAAUAGCUCACUGGUCGAGUCGGCCUGCGCGGAAGAUGUAACGGGGCUAAACCAUGCACCGAAGCUGCGGCAGCGACGCUGAUGCGUUGUUGGGUAGGGGAGCGUUCUGUAAGCCUGUGAAGGUGGCCUGUGAGGGUUGCUGGAGGUAUCAGAAGUGCGAAUGCUGACAUAAGUAACGAUAAAGCGGGUGAAAAGCCCGCUCGCCGGAAGACCAAGGGUUCCUGUCCAACGUUAAUCGGGGCAGGGUGAGUCGACCCCUAAGGCGAGGCCGAAAGGCGUAGUCGAUGGGAAACGGGUUAAUAUUCCCGUACUUGGUGUUACUGCGAAGGGGGGACGGAGAAGGCUAUGUUGGCCGGGCGACGGUUGUCCCGGUUUAAGCGUGUAGGUGUGUGUUCCAGGUAAAUCCGGUUCACUUUAACACUGAGGCGUGAUGACGAGGCACUACGGUGCUGAAGCAACAAAUGCCCUGCUUCCAGGAAAAGCCUCUAAGCAUCAGGUAACAUCAAAUCGUACCCCAAACCGACACAGGUGGUCAGGUAGAGAAUACCAAGGCGCUUGAGAGAACUCGGGUGAAGGAACUAGGCAAAAUGGUGCCGUAACUUCGGGAGAAGGCACGCUGACACGUAGGUGAAGUGAUUUACUCAUGGAGCUGAAGUCAGUCGAAGAUACCAGCUGGCUGCAACUGUUUAUUAAAAACACAGCACUGUGCAAACACGAAAGUGGACGUAUACGGUGUGACGCCUGCCCGGUGCCGGAAGGUUAAUUGAUGGGGUCAGCGCAAGCGAAGCUCCUGAUCGAAGCCCCGGUAAACGGCGGCCGUAACUAUAACGGUCCUAAGGUAGCGAAAUUCCUUGUCGGGUAAGUUCCGACCUGCACGAAUGGCGUAAUGAUGGCCAGGCUGUCUCCACCCGAGACUCAGUGAAAUUGAACUCGCUGUGAAGAUGCAGUGUACCCGCGGCAAGACGGAAAGACCCCGUGAACCUUUACUAUAGCUUGACACUGAACAUUGAGCCUUGAUGUGUAGGAUAGGUGGGAGGCUUUGAAGCGUGGACGCCAGUCUGCAUGGAGCCGGCCUUGAAAUACCACCCUUUAAUGUUUGAUGUUCUAACGUGGACCCGUGAUCCGGGUUGCGGACAGUGUCUGGUGGGUAGUUUGACUGGGGCGGUCUCCUCCUAAAGAGUAACGGAGGAGCACGAAGGUUGGCUAAUCCUGGUCGGACAUCAGGAGGUUAGUGCAAUGGCAUAAGCCAGCUUGACUGCGAGCGUGACGGCGCGAGCAGGUGCGAAAGCAGGUCAUAGUGAUCCGGUGGUUCUGAAUGGAAGGGCCAUCGCUCAACGGAUAAAAGGUACUCCGGGGAUAACAGGCUGAUACCGCCCAAGAGUUCAUAUCGACGGCGGUGUUUGGCACCUCGAUGUCGGCUCAUCACAUCCUGGGGCUGAAGUAGGUCCCAAGGGUAUGGCUGUUCGCCAUUUAAAGUGGUACGCGAGCUGGGUUUAGAACGUCGUGAGACAGUUCGGUCCCUAUCUGCCGUGGGCGCUGGAGAACUGAGGGGGGCUGCUCCUAGUACGAGAGGACCGGAGUGGACGCAUCACUGGUGUUCGGGUUGUCAUGCCAAUGGCACUGCCCGGUAGCUAAAUGCGGAAGAGAUAAGUGCUGAAAGCAUCUAAGCACGAAACUUGCCCCGAGAUGAGUUCUCCCUGAGACUUAGAGUCUCCUGAAGGAACGUUGAAGACGACGACGUUGAUAGGCCGGGUGUGUAAGCGCAGCGAUGCGUUGAGCUAACCGGUACUAAUGAACCGUGAGGCUUAACCUU
Molecule: ribosomal RNA, 2333 nt
Filed under: Salmonella enterica
Lineage: Bacteria; Pseudomonadati; Pseudomonadota; Gammaproteobacteria; Enterobacterales; Enterobacteriaceae
Also listed under: 4 other names
Description: partial 23S ribosomal RNA
Rfam family: Bacterial large subunit ribosomal RNA
Source: RNAcentral